This 253-nucleotide ribosomal RNA is filed under the name uncultured bacterium. RNAcentral describes it as "partial 16S ribosomal RNA". It matches the Rfam family "Bacterial small subunit ribosomal RNA", at positions 524 to 776 of the family's 1533-position model. The record is from RNAcentral.
UACGUAGGCAGCAAGCGUUGUUCGGAGUUACUGGGCGUAAAGAGUGUGUAGGCGGUGCUCUAAGUUCGGUGUGAAAUCUCCCGGCUCAACUGGGAGGGUGCGCCGAAAACUGGAGUGCUGGAGCGCGGGAGAGGAAAGCGGAAUUCCUGGUGUAGCGGUGAAAUGCGUAGAUAUCAGGAGGAACACCGGCGGUGUAGACGGCUUUCUGGACCGUAGCUGACGCUGAGACACGAAAGCGUGGGUAGCAAACAGG